AACCAGGGAGUCCAUCUUUUAUGCUCUUCCAUUGACUUAUCUCCCUUGGGUAAGAUCUCAAAACAUGUCAGCUCCCAGUGAUGGUUUGGCAGACAAAUGUUUACAGUGAAGUUUGUGACUUUAAUAAUCUAGGAUGAGCAUGUGGGCUAUCCCAGCCUUAUACAUCUACAUAUUACAAACUAUUUAAGAUAUCUGAAUGCACUAAAGACCAAAAUAGCAUUUCCAAAAAAAAUAAUUACUGCCAAAAAAUUUGACAAUCAUGACAAUAAUUUAGUGAAUAAACAUGAUAAAUAUUGAUUGGAAAAAUAAGUCCAUGAACAGCAAAAAGUGUUUUUAGAUUUCAAUGAGCAAAACAAAAGUAUUCUAAAUCAUUCUUCGUAAAAACAAAGUGAGCGAGUGGAACCACCUUGCUCGCACCAAAAUUGAGAUUGAGAGUGUCAAAAAUGCUCUGGCGCACCAUCAAUAAAUCAACGACACUCUCUCUACCGUGGUAUUGAAACCAGCAUUGGUAACCAAACAUAUUCAUACAGAUACAGACUACCAUUCAUCUACAUUUAGGAAGUCUGAAUAAUACUGAAAACUCUGGUGUAGAAUUUCCAACAGGAUUCCUUAUUUUAUAUAAGACAAGGAGUGGUUUAUUUUCCCAUGGUUGUUACAUCAUCUUGUCUUUGAAUAUGCUCGAAGUACAGGGACUUUUAUGGAAUUCAUUGACAUGAUAGUCAAGCAAGAUGUCAACAUCUCGUCAAACCCUCUUCCAGCAAAGCCAAAGCUGACCAAGGAUCUUCACCCUUUCAAAACAGGCUGUAUACAGGACGAGUUAUUCCAGUAGGAACAGGGCUAUAUAUAUGCAAGCAAUGCUCAAUUAAGAUGAAUUUUUGUAAAAGUGACAAUAGCCAGGUCAAACUAAAUACAUGUAUAGAAGAAGAUAUUGAUCUAGACUCGCAGCUAACCUUUCUGUCAGUGUCAACAACAACUGAACUUUCACAGCAGUCAACAUCAGAUUGGGAGACUGAUAAUGCUUCUAACAGAAACAAUUUCAACCAACCAAACAAGCAACAGAAACUUUCCAACUUUAAAACAUCAGUUAAAUCUUCCAUGGGAUGAUGUCUCAAAAAAUAACAGUUCAUCAUUUAUGGAGAUUUUAAUGUUAUGGUUUUUCUUUUACAAGAAAGUUAAUGUACACUUGUUUUAUAGUAAAACCAAUAGCCGUUCAAGUAUAAAAAAACACAUUCAACUUUAUUGAAAUUUGAAGAUUCAUAUGACUUAUUUCAAUUAUGU
Molecule: long non-coding RNA, 1278 nt
Organism: Mytilus californianus (California mussel)
Lineage: Eukaryota; Metazoa; Mollusca; Bivalvia; Mytilida; Mytilidae
Exons: 3
Source: RefSeq, a predicted model, not a curated record